UUACGUUAUACUAAAAUUACUAUUCGUGAAUCAGAUUUAAUUUGCUCUGUUUUGAUUUGUAUCGUUAGUCUUCAUUGGUUUUUUUUUUUAAACGGCUUAGAAAUGCAAUGGCAAAUCGUUUUAGUAUUAUUGUGUGCCACACGACAUAUAUUGACAAAGUCUAUACAAAACACAACCUCACCGGAUGAAUUACUAUUUGAAAGCCGAUUGGAACUGCUAGAGACUAAAAUCGCUUCUCUAGAAAAUGAAAGUAA
RNAcentral lists this long non-coding RNA (254 nucleotides) under Mytilus galloprovincialis (Mediterranean mussel). Lineage: Eukaryota; Metazoa; Mollusca; Bivalvia; Mytilida; Mytilidae. The record is from RNAcentral.